Molecule: ribosomal RNA, 382 nt
Filed under: uncultured eukaryote
Lineage: Eukaryota
Description: partial 18S ribosomal RNA
Rfam family: Eukaryotic small subunit ribosomal RNA
Source: RNAcentral
UGUAAGCGUAUUCCAAAGUUGUUGCAGUUAAAACGCUCGUAGUCGGAAUUUGGCAGUUCCGGAUGUGUGCACGUCGUGUGCGCACUUCGCGGGGAUUGCUUUUGUGGUCUUGCGUAGGAUGAGGCACUUUUAUUAGUGAACGUCCUCACGCAACCACUUUUUACUGUGAGAAAAUCAGAGUGCUCAAAGCAGGCAUUUGCCGUGAAUGUAUUAGCAUGGAAUAAUAGAAUAGGACUUGGUUCUAUUUUGUUGGUUUGUUGGGACUGAGUAAUGAUUAAGAGGGACAGUUGGGGGCAUUUGUAUUUCGGUGCUAGAGGUGAAAUUCUUAGAUUACCGAAAGACAAACUGCUGCGAAAGCGUCUGCCAAGGAUGUUUUCAUUGA